Molecule: long non-coding RNA, 821 nt
Organism: Symsagittifera roscoffensis
Lineage: Eukaryota; Metazoa; Xenacoelomorpha; Acoela; Convolutidae
Exons: 3
Source: RefSeq, a predicted model, not a curated record
UUGUAACCUAUAUAGCUAUUAUUUUUCCAUUUAGAUAAAUUGUCGUUUUUGUUUAUAUAGUUCAAAUGGCGCUUUCGCUGAAACAGAAGAAAAAUAUGCUAAAACUGGGAAUCGUGAUUAGUGUAUUUUUCAUCAUUACAGGUUUUACCAUUAUGAAGUUUCUUGCUACUUAUGUUGUCCCGGCUUACGUAGAGCUGACUUCUAUUAAGUCAGCCCUUUUUGUACAUUACAACGCUGAGAAUAUAAUGAAACAUGUCGUUGAUCAAUUGGCCAAUAACUCGAUCAGCGAAUAUGAGCUCACAUCCAAAACGAGGCCAACAAACUCCAACAAAUCUAAGGAACUUUCAGGAAAUUUUAACAAUUUCAGCGGCUUUGAGAACUUGUCACCAGAAAUACGAGAUGCAAUCCUUACCUACCCUGCAAUUAAUACUUUGGAGCAAGACCUGGACAAUUCGUUACCGUGGAUAGUGUUUUCUAUAUUUUGUUGCAGUUUCGGACUUACGCUACUCAAGGUAAUCUGGGGAGUGUAUGUGUGCUAUAUCAAACCAGAUGUGGAGAAAAAUAACAAAGAGCUAGAGAUGGAGACAACGAUGACCAGAAUCUUAGAACGCCAGAAGGAAAAACUCCAGAUGAAAGCGGAAAUCAUAGAGAUUGAUUCAAAAGUGUAAACUAAGCAGCUGUAGCUGAUGUAAAUUUUCACCCAAAAAAGAAGAGAAAACUUGGAAAAACAUUUAUGGUACAGAAAGACAGAUUUUUUUAAAAAGCAAUUGGAAGGUUUAUUCGUUUUUUUUUAACAUCAUUUUGGGAUCUUGUCAACUAUU